This 253-nucleotide ribosomal RNA is filed under the name uncultured bacterium. Its description in RNAcentral is "partial 16S ribosomal RNA". It matches the Rfam family "Bacterial small subunit ribosomal RNA", at positions 524 to 776 of the family's 1533-position model. The record is from RNAcentral.
UACGAAGGGGGCUAGCGUUGCUCGGAAUUACUGGGCGUAAAGCGCACGUAGGCGGCUUCUUAAGUCGGGUGUGAAAUCCUGGAGCUCAACUCCAGAACUGCCUUCGAUACUGUCGAGCUUGAGACCGGAAGAGGUAAGUGGAACUGCGAGUGUAGAGGUGAAAUUCGUAGAUAUUCGCAAGAACACCAGUGGCGAAGGCGGCUUACUGGUCCGGUUCUGACGCUGAGGCGCGAAAGCGUGGGGAGCAAACAGG